GAUGAACGCUGGCGGCGUGCCUAAUACAUGCAAGUCGAGCGAAUGGAUUAAGAGCUUGCUCUUAUGAAGUUAGCGGCGGACGGGUGAGUAACACGUGGGUAACCUGCCCAUAAGACUGGGAUAACUACGGGAAACCGGGGCUAAUACCGGAUAACAUUUUGAACCGCAUGGCUCGAAAUUGAAAGGCGGCUUCGCCUGUCACUUCUGGAUGGACCCGCGUCGCAUUAGCUAGUUGGUAAGGUAGCGGCUCACCAAGGCAACGAUGCGUAGCCGAGCUGGUAGGGUGAGCGGCCACACUGGGACGGGGACACGGCCCAGACGCCUACGGGAGGCAGCAGUAGGGAAUCUUCCGCAAUGGACGAAAGUCUGACGGAGCAACGCCGCGUGAGUGAUGAAGGCUUUCGGGCCGUAAAACUCUGUUGUUAGGGAAGAACAAGUGCUAGUUGAAUAAGCUGGCACCUUGACGGUACCUAACCAGAAAGCCACGGCUAACUACGUGCCAGCAGCCGCGGUAA
RNAcentral lists this ribosomal RNA (515 nucleotides) under uncultured bacterium. RNAcentral describes it as "partial 16S ribosomal RNA". It matches the Rfam family "Bacterial small subunit ribosomal RNA", at positions 28 to 523 of the family's 1533-position model. The record is from RNAcentral.